Chelonia mydas (Green sea turtle) is the source of this 3671-nucleotide long non-coding RNA. RefSeq lists it as uncharacterized. The transcript is spliced from 2 exons. The record is from RefSeq and is a predicted model, not a curated record. NCBI's taxonomy places the organism in Eukaryota, Metazoa, Chordata, Testudines, Cheloniidae.
AUGAGUGGGUUCUUACUACCUUUUAGCUGAUUUAAAUACAAAUGAAUGUGGAAAUGCCCAUUAAGAUAUGCCCAAGAAUGAAAAUAUCAUCCAGCUGAGAACAUAUACUCUCCACAUACCAGUUAAGUGUUCUGUUCUUGUUGUUGCCUUUGAUUGUCCUCCGCUGUAGUUGAAUAGUUCAGUAACUAGGAAGGGGAAGAAAAGACUUGCAAAAUAGGGGGGUAGGUGAGAGGGGAUUUUAAUUAAUCCCAAAGUCCUAGUUCUUGAAUGCAAGAUGUGUGUUAUAUUCUGUGGAGAAUGGUGCUUUGGAAUAUGGGUCUUUAUGGGAGGUUGAUAAGAGACAUUUUAAUAGGUUUGGUAAAUUUCUGCUGCACCCCAACUAAGUUCCACAGGGAACAAAUUAUCCCAGAAUAGCCCAUGACUGCUGUAUUCUAAUGCUAUGUACCCAAAUGCAUAAUAAAUAAAAAGGGAAAGUUUUAAGUAGCCAUUUAACCCUUAACAAAAAUGGACAAGUGACCUUCUGAAAACAACUCAAUUUCUGUAAUGUGUGCAGCUUGCUUUCACUGCCAAAUACUUGAAAACACCCUUUACUCACUCUUUAUCUCAUUUAGAAUCAACUGAAGUACUGCAGCUGUUGGUUCCUGGGGCAAAACUCUGUAGGGAAAGCUGCAGGGUAUCUUCAAUGGAAGGUCUUUUCCUGUGUAACUUGUUCCCUUUGACAGCUCACCAGAAUUAGAGCUGUUGGCCUUCAGGAAACCAAAGCUGCUUGUGACUAACUUCAUCCUGAAGAAGCACUUUUGUCUGCUACAUUGCCUUCCCCUCCCUGUUCGGUGUUCUGUGAAUUUGCCGAAGCAGGCACAGGCAGACUGGCUGUGACUAUCAAAUGCCAUAAUCUUCAGUGUCUGAGCAGCUCAUCCUGCAGAAAGUAUGCCCAUCCCUCUAAGCUACUGAAAGGUGAAACGCCUGUCUCGUUUAUUUUUCCAGUAAUUUUCAGCCCAUGGUCUCAGGGGAUCUAUUAUUAGCUGACACAUUUGACAUCUGAACUCUGUGCUUGUCCUAAAAUAAAUUCCCCUUAACUCCACAAACAUACAUCUUAGCAGGGUUUUUUUUAUUGACAGUUUGGCGGAGAUGUGAGGCCGCUUGAUGGGAAUUCCACUGAGCGCUGAUAUACCUCAGGGCAUGAAGAGAAUUCAUCAGCCAGGGCUGUCUUGUCUUGUCACAUUGUGAUCAGUGCUUGUUUCCCUCUAUCAGUUUGACUCUGCUUUUAGUCUUGUAGUGGGGUGCUGGUGAAUGAGAGCCAUAGAUGUAGGCACACUCAUUCAGAUUAGGCUGGGAUUAGAUGCCAAUGUAACACUAGAAAAUAUAGUCAUUAGCCAACGGGAAAGGGGUAAUUAUCAUUCUUAAGAAUGAAUGCCACAUCAGAACAGAUCAAUUUUACAUCUAGUUUGGUCAUGUCUCUAGCGGUGGCCAAUACUAGCUUCUUCAGGAAGAGAUUUAAACCUUCAGACUAUGCUUAAGUGAGCAAUCCUAUACCACGGGACAAACUUAUUCCUAACCUCCAACUAGUUUUAUGACCUGAAGCAUGAAUCCUAAACUCAGUUUUUAAGACACUACCUUUAAUUUUCCAAGGAGUGAUGAUUCUAAAUUCACAAAAAUACAUGCCAAGGAGUUCCAGAGCUUGCUCUUUUGCUUCCAGAUGGGCCAGGUCAUGAAAGAAUUAGUAUGGUUGCCAGUUAGCUAUUGCUCUGGGUGGAAUGUUAGAAGGAGGUUCUGGCGGUAUUGACUGGACAGUAGCUAGCCACUUUAAUUUCAUUUUUUAAUCUUUUAGGUGCAGUUAAACCAAACCUAUACUGAAAUAAUACCCAGCAAACCUGUUUCAGUGCAAAAUAAGAUAACGGGCUGUCUUAAAGCUACAAAAGCCAUGAAAUUCAUAAUAGUAUUGACCCAGCUUUAAAUAGCUCCUUUUGUGUCCGGGCACAGAUGGAGUAGGAAUUGGCCAGUAUGUCAUAAACUCUUCUCUGGAGGAGGGUGCAUCAGUUAAAAAAUUAAUCUUAAAUUAUUUUUAAAAAACUUACCGCCCUCAUGGCUAUGACAGAAACUUUCUCAUAGGAUCCAAUGCAGUGCUCUGUCUGAAUCAACAAGGUGGAAAGAUAGCUGAAACGAGUGAUCUCAUUUCAAAUAUUACAUAUGCUGAGCUUUCUUAAAAUUCCCACUAUCGGACUAGCUGUGGUUGAGAAUGGUGGGAGCACUAGUAUAGAAAAUCCAUUGCAUUUUUAUCAUUGUGUUAUCUAGGCCAUCUUUGACCAGUGUACAGUGGUAAUAAAAGCCAGCUGCCUGCCAGUGCCAGUGUUUUUACCAUAGUUAGCACCAGUGCUAGUGUAAUGCUAUGAAACUUAAAGAAAAAACUUCUUAUAGAUAAAUCUCCAUGGGGUAUAAAUUCCAAAUCUUAACAAUAACAAUUUGCUCAAUGCUGACAUUUAAUCAAAUGCAGAUCUUUACAUCAGAAACAUCCAGCUAAACAUCCAGCUACUAUGGGAUUAUGGAGAUCUUGUGUAGUUACCUCCGCUCUCCUCUUUCCCCACUCAAAUAGCUAAACCCUACCCUAGGUUGUUUGCACCCUGUUAGAUGUCAGAUUAUUUAUUGAGGUUGUAGACGAAGCCAUAUUCUAUUUAUAUCUGGGCUCUGCAGAGUAAGGAAGGGUGGAAUGGAAGCCAUAACUCUGAGAUUGAGUUUUGGAGUUAAAGGAGCAAUAAGAAAAGCCUAAAACCCACAAGAGGUCUUAAAUAAGUUUUGUAUACAUCAGACUUAAAAAAAAAUAAAAAAAAAAUGGCUAAGUAAAUUUGAUUUGAAAUUUUAAAAAUAGUGUUCAGGUCUGCUGUAACCCGGUAUAUACUAAGUUUCAGUCUGUAGCAAAUGUUCCUGGAGUUAUAAACCCCAGAAAAUGGGGGUUUAAUCAUGGAAAUUUUGACAAACCCUUAACUACAGCGGCGCCACUGGGCACUGCUCUAAUAUUAAAAGCAAUUUUAAGCUCAGCCAUGUGUUCACAAACAAGUGACAUUUGGGAAGUGCAGUUUUAGAUUGAGCCUCCAUGCUCACAUUGUUAAGCGGCAUAGCGUGAAAUUACUGAACAAACAGCAUAGAGAGCUCUGAGCAGAUCUGGGGAAAAUGUUGGAGAGUGGAAGGAGAUGCCCAAUUUAUUUCCAUUGCACCAGGUGACACUUCUCUGUUUACAGGAUUCCAUUUAAUAUUUCCAAAAUCAUGAGUUGCAUAUGUGUGUGUGUUAACCAUUUGUUACCAUGGUAGGGGAUUCCAGAUGAGGUGUGAGCUCUGUUAUGGUAUGUGGGCAAUAAGUUCAUUGACGUCUCCUUUUUAAGUUAAAGAAGGAUUUAAUGAAAUAUCAGAUGGUUGUGUUAUGUGUAAACUCAGAUUGCCUGCGCUUUUCAUGAUGAAAGAACAAUCCUGGACUGUGUUUUUCUGGUUAAAUAGCACAGGGUUUUUAAAUGAGUUGACUAAAGCAGCUAUUCUGAUUUUGUUCAUUUGUUUUGUUUUUUGCUGUCAGACAUAGCUGGAUUAUAUUUGCUAAUACCAGAGUGAUUUUUUCCCAAGUCACUAUCAUAGUUCUUAAAGUGCUUAGAAAUGACACUGUGGAAGUACAGAAUAUUACUUCAUUU